GACAGAGGGUGCAAGCGUUGUUCGGAAUCAUUGGGCGUAAAGCGCGUGUAGGCGGCUUGGCAAGUCAGUUGUGAAAGCCCGGGGCCCAACCCCGGAAUUGCAUCUGAAACUGCCUGGCUAGAGUCCCGGAGAGGAAGGCAGAAUUCCCGGUGUAGGGGUGAAAUCCGUAGAUAUCGGGAGGAAUACCAGCGGCGAAGGCGGCCUUCUGGACGGUGACUGACGCUGAGACGCGAAAGCGUGGGGAGCAAACAGG
This 253-nucleotide ribosomal RNA is filed under the name uncultured bacterium. Its description in RNAcentral is "partial 16S ribosomal RNA". It matches the Rfam family "Bacterial small subunit ribosomal RNA", at positions 524 to 776 of the family's 1533-position model. The record is from RNAcentral.